RNAcentral lists this transfer RNA (61 nucleotides) under Cheironitis sp. MJTNT-2012. Its description in RNAcentral is "tRNA-Gly". The record is from RNAcentral. Lineage: Eukaryota; Metazoa; Arthropoda; Insecta; Coleoptera; Scarabaeidae.
UUUAUAUAAUAUAAAAAUUAUUCCUGACUUCCAAUCAGGCUAUCUAGAAAUAGUAUAAAUU